AUUGAACGCUAGCGGGAUGCUUUACACAUGCAAGUCGAACGGCAGCGCGGACUUCGGUCUGGCGGCGAGUGGCGAACGGGUGAGUAAUGUAUCGGAACGUGCCCAGUAGCGGGGGAUAACUACGCGAAAGCGUAGCUAAUACCGCAUACGCCCUACGUGGGAAACCAGGGGAUCGUAAGACCUUGCACUAUUGGAGCGGCCGAUAUCGGAUUAGCUAGUUGGUGAGGUAACGGCUCACCAAGGCGACGAUCCGUAGCUGGUUUGAGAGGACGACCAGCCACACUGGGACUGAGACACGGACCAGACUCCUACGGGAGGCAGCAGUGGGGAAUUUUGGACAAUGGGGGAAACCCUGAUCCAGCAAUCCCGCGUGUGCGAUGAAGGACUUCGGGUUGUAAAACACUUUUAGCAGGAAAGAAACGUGGCGGGCUAAUACCCCGUGGAACUGACGGUACCUGCAGAAUAAGCACCGGCUAACUACGUG
RNAcentral lists this ribosomal RNA (484 nucleotides) under uncultured bacterium. RNAcentral's name for it is "partial 16S ribosomal RNA". It matches the Rfam family "Bacterial small subunit ribosomal RNA", at positions 30 to 507 of the family's 1533-position model. The record is from RNAcentral.